This 323-nucleotide ribosomal RNA is filed under the name uncultured Chloroflexota bacterium. RNAcentral's name for it is "bacterial SSU rRNA". It matches the Rfam family "Bacterial small subunit ribosomal RNA", at positions 28 to 351 of the family's 1533-position model. Lineage: Bacteria; Bacillati; Chloroflexota. The record is from RNAcentral.
GAUGAACGCUGGCGGCGUGCCUAAUGCAUGCAAGUCGAACGGGGAAUAUUACUUCGGUUUUAUUCUUAGUGGCGAACGGGUGAGUAACACGUAAGCAACCUGCCCUCGAGUGGGGGACAACUCCGAGAAAUUGGUGCUAAUACCGCAUAAUGUGUAGGGGUAAGGCCCGAACACCAAAGCCUUCGGGCGCUCGAGGAGGGGCUUGCGGCCUAUCAGGUAGUUGGUGAGGUAACGGCCCACCAAGCCUUUGACGGGUAGCUGGUUUGAGAGGAUGAUCAGCCACAUUGGGACUGAGACACGGCCCAGACUCCUACGGGUGGCAG